GGACCGAGCAGAUAAGUCCGCGCUCGGGUUUGACUACAAAGGAGAGGUAGAUAUACACACCUCUCAAAAAGACUAUGCCGUUGGGUUUGGUGGGAAGUACGGUGUCCAGAAGGAUCGUCAGGACAAGUCCGCCCUGGGUUGGUCCCACAAAGAAGAAGUCAAGCCCCAUGAAUCUCAAACAGGUCUGGAAGCUGC
Molecule: non-coding RNA, 195 nt
Organism: Notechis scutatus (mainland tiger snake)
Lineage: Eukaryota; Metazoa; Chordata; Lepidosauria; Squamata; Elapidae
Source: RefSeq, a predicted model, not a curated record